This 74-nucleotide transfer RNA is filed under the name Lachnospira sp. RNAcentral's name for it is "tRNA-Arg". It matches the Rfam family "tRNA". From Rfam's summary of the family: Transfer RNA (tRNA) molecules are approximately 80 nucleotides in length. Their secondary structure includes four short double-helical elements and three loops (D, anti-codon, and T loops). The record is from RNAcentral. Lineage: Bacteria; Bacillati; Bacillota; Clostridia; Lachnospirales; Lachnospiraceae. RNAcentral also lists the same sequence under 1 other name.
GUGCGUGUAGCUCAGUUGGAUAGAGCGUUCGCCUCCGGAGCGAAAGGUCGUGGGUUCGACUCCCAUCAUGCACA